RNAcentral lists this ribosomal RNA (405 nucleotides) under uncultured bacterium. Its description in RNAcentral is "bacterial SSU rRNA". It matches the Rfam family "Bacterial small subunit ribosomal RNA", at positions 370 to 772 of the family's 1533-position model. The record is from RNAcentral.
AAUGGCCGCAAGGCUGAUCCAGCCAUGCCGCGUGCAGGAAGACGGACCUAUGGUUUGUAAACUGCUUUUGAACUAGAGAAAACCCCUUUACGUGUAAAGGGCUGAUAGUAUAGUUAGAAUAAGCAUCGGCUAACUUCGUGCCAGCAGCCGCGGUAAGACGAAGGAUGCAAGCGUUAUCCGGAUUCAUUGGGUUUAAAGGGAGCGUAGGCGGACUUGUAAGUCAGUGGUGAAAUCUUUGGGCUUAACCCAGAAACUGCCAUUGAUACUGCAAGUCUAGAGUACAGUUGCCGUUGGCGGAAUAUGACAUGUAGUGGUGAAAUACUUAGAUAUGUCAUAGAACACCGAUUGCGAAGGCAGCUAACGAAGCUGUAACUGACGCUGAGGCUCGAAAGUGCGGGGAUCAAA